CUUUUAUACAUGCUCAUCUGUGGCAUUACAAUUUGGACAUCAUUACUUUUCUAAUGUUGCUGCAAAGAUGCUGAUGAGACACAUGUUUCUGACUGCAAAAAGUAUUCAGCUUGUCUUUGAAAGACAAGAAAAUUGUGACCCAGCAGUUACUCAUGGACACCACAUCACAUUCUCGUUUGCACUGGGAACAUAUUCUGCUUCAUGGCCUGCGUGAUUUUCUUACCUCUGGGAUUUCAAAGAUUUUUUAUGUAUCUUGGUCAGAUCUGCAAGCAAGAAUUCUACAUGUUCCUUUCUCUAUGCAAUCUGCCAAUUCCUCACGCCCUGUAUUGGGAUAGGAUCAAGCUGUAUUAUAAGGAUUUACCCUUCAGUAACAAAGAAGUUCUCAGAAGAACCUCCAGGGACAAUGACUCCACCACCUCCCUGGGCAGCCUGUUCCUUUUCUUGACAACUCUUUCUGUGAAUAAAUUUUUCCUAAUACCCAACCUGAGAUAUUAUGCUUGGGAUUGCCCUAACCCAGGUGCAGGACUUUGCACUUGGCCUUAUUGAACCUCAUUAUGUUCUCAUCAGCCCACCUCUCAAUCCUGUCAAGGUUCCUCUGGAUGGCAUCCAUUCCCUCCAGUGUGUCAACUGCACCACUCAGCUUGGUGUUGUUGGCAAACUUGCUAGGCGUGCCCUCAGCCCCAUGGUCCAUGUUUCUAACAAAUAUGUUAAAUAAUACUGGUCCAAAUACUGUCCCCUGAAGAAUAUCAUUCAUCACUGGUUCCCACCUCUGUAUUGAGCCACUGAAUGUAACUCUUUGAGUGUGACCAUCUAGCCAAUUUGUUAUUCUUUACAGAACUCCUUCUCUCAGACCCAUUUCUCUCCAAUUCAGAAACAAGGAUGUUGUGCAGUAUAGUAUCAAAUUGUUUUGCAGAAGUUCAGGUAGAUGGAGGCUGUUAUGUUAACUGUAAAGAAUGGUACUUUAAAUUCAUGCAGCUGACAAUGAUCAUUAAAUUUAGCCACGUUUAUUUACCUGGUAUAAUACUUAACAUCCAAAAUCUUUUACAAACUUCCCUGUAUUACAGAAAAUGCCUUAACAAAUGUUCUGGUCAGAUAGAAUUUAACACACUAAUCUCAACUCUCAUAGUAGAAUUGCAGAUUUGAAGCAUUUAGAUUUUUUAUUCAGUCUGGUUUUAUGUGAUGAAUUUUGCCUGAGAAGGCAAAACCAGUACCUAUUUAUUUUUUUUUCUGCCAAAUAAAAUGUACUCAGUCAAUGGUAUGUCCA
RNAcentral lists this long non-coding RNA (1264 nucleotides) under Numida meleagris (helmeted guineafowl). RNAcentral's name for it is "lncRNA (ENSNMEG00000003711.1)". Lineage: Eukaryota; Metazoa; Chordata; Aves; Galliformes; Numididae. The record is from RNAcentral.